Vicugna pacos (alpaca) is the source of this 1999-nucleotide non-coding RNA. The record is from RefSeq and is a predicted model, not a curated record. NCBI's taxonomy places the organism in Eukaryota, Metazoa, Chordata, Mammalia, Artiodactyla, Camelidae.
CAUUGAAUGUGUGGAAAAGCCCUCUGGAGCCUGACUUCUACGGGGGACUCAGCUUUUGCCUGCUUGCCUUGUUGGUGUCCUGUAUCUACAUCACUGUUAGGAUCGCAGCCUGCAGACCCCCGGGCCUGGAGCCCCCACAGGUUUGCUUACUGCUUAGAUUUUGCAUUCCCUUUUUGUUUCCUGUACCUGCGGCUUUCCUUCUCAUUCCUUUGAGCCAGGCCACAUAUUACAAUUUUUAAAAUCUUAUUUUAUGCAGAAUUUUGGAUCCAUUAUAUUGACCAUAAGUCCAAGAAUUAUUUUAGGUUUCUAAGUGAUUGAUUUGUUUAUUUUAUUUUUAAGCAAUGGCAAGGAAAGCAGGAGAGAACUGCGUGUUGGCAUCUGCUUUUUGUUUUCUGCUUAUAUUUAUCAUCUAAGAAUAUAUUUAAACAAUUUCUACAUUUUUGGCAUUAAUAUGUUGGUGUUUUCUUUGUGUCUUAGUGCAAUAAAUGUUUAAAGGUAUUCAUAGUCACUUAAAAAAGGUAUAUGUAUCUGCUCUAUAGCUUUAAUUUUUUUAUUAUUCAUCCAAAGACUUGGAAAGUCAUGUUACUAUAUCCCAUUAUAAAUGAAAAUUUUCAAUACAUUCUUUUUUGUUUAGCAGUUUUUCAUUAUAUAAUCUGCUACAAAUAAUACAUUAAUUAUUUAAGACUCCAAGGCCUGAAUCAUGUUUCAAGUGGCUGGAGCCACAACAGCCUCAGUGAGCCUUCAGUUAGUCUUUUUCUGAUUAAUAAUGGCACUUCUAUUUUUUGUUAUAAAAUGUAAUGCCGCAUUUGGUGAAAAAAAUCUUGAAAGAGGAAAUAUAUACUAUAAAAUGAAAAUAGAUAAUGCUUUAAAACUUGGAUAUAGUGGUGAAAAAGGAGAAUAGGAAAACUAAAAGAGUCCACGUUUAUUUUAUUUAACAGGGACAACUCAGCGGAGACACAUUCAUAAGAUCGAUAGAGAAAUGCAGAUUUUAAAAUGUUGCAUUUUAAAAUUGGUCUCUUCUGUCCUCCAUAGUUUCUUGUUCGUAUCAUUUACUUAAUGAAAAUGAACAGAUGAACUAAUAAAUGAAGGACAAGUUAUUCCCCCCCCCCAAUUCUAAUAUUUCCCUUUUAGUUAGAAUAUUUUAAAUAACCAUUUGAGUUCAGGAGUGUUGCCUGCAGCCUAUAAUAUGGCUGAGUCACUGUCUUCCUCUUCUCCGGUCUGUCAGCCCUUGUGCCGGCAGCACAGUUAGGUCUGUGGUUUAAGCUGAAUCCCUACUCCUUUGUUUACUUAUUUAUUUUGAAUAUGAAUCAGGUGGAGCGCCUGUGCAGGUGUCUGCAAGUUUAUAUCAGGAAAGGAAGAGAAGUUAGUUUCCCAAGAAAUAAAAUUUCAUGGAGAAGUUGGAAAACGUGCCCUCAGUAUGUCACUCUAUGAAUCCACGGCACAUUUGCAUUUCUUGUUAUCUUACUAUAGGAUGUCUGCAUAACCUUUCAAGAAACGCAACACUCCACCCCAAGUCCACUGAUACUCAGAGAGACGCUGGGUCUGAAGGCUUGCUUGUCUGGGAGACCUUCUUCAGAAGGUGUCGAUGUCUUUGAGUUUAACCCUCAGGAGUUUCUGCUCUUAGACUUGAGAUUUUGGUUAAGGAGAGAGAAAGGGAAGGCAGACUUAGGCGACAUCACACAAGAAAAGGCGAAAAAAAAGGAGAACUCUGUAGAGGGCGCACGUCCAACUUUCACACUGUGACCGCUUGGGGAUAUUUCAAAAUGUUUUCAAAUGGCAUGUACUUUUUGGAUACGUGAGGGCAUUUCCAAGUAUCAAGAAAAAAAUAACUGAAUAUUUCAAAUGUUUGGAAUUACUCCCAAUUCAAGAAAUCCAGAUGUUUGUAAUGAAGCCAUUUCAUAUCUCUGUUUAAAUAUUCAAGUGGGUUUUAAGAUGAUACAGAGGGAAAAAGGCAUACUCCUCAAUUCUUCCUUUUAAAAAAUAGGAUAGUAUGUACUCC